The sequence is a regulatory RNA element, 100 nucleotides long. It matches the Rfam family "Pyrrolysine insertion sequence mttB". The record is from Rfam.
UAGGGCGAUUCAAAAUUAACCGAUUAUCAGUCAGGCCACGAAAAAACCAUCACCGGUAUCCUUCCGGCGUUGUCAGGGUGCAACGUUAUCUACGGACUGG